Etheostoma spectabile (orangethroat darter) is the source of this 397-nucleotide long non-coding RNA. RefSeq lists it as uncharacterized. The transcript is spliced from 3 exons. The record is from RefSeq and is a predicted model, not a curated record. NCBI's taxonomy places the organism in Eukaryota, Metazoa, Chordata, Actinopteri, Perciformes, Percidae.
AAUUGCUGUUAAGUCCAAUCUGAAUGUUGUUUCACCAUGGGAAGUGUUCUAGAUAAGUAUUUUUUUCAACAUUACAUAUGGUUUCACAAUAACGGAAAGCACAUUUUAUUCCACCUAUAGUUGAUUGAAAAAAUCCUAACAUCAAAACCUGGUGGUGAACGCAUUAUGCAAGAGUAUGGAAAAACCAAAUCUCUGACAGAUGCCACCAGAAGACAGAUGAUUAACAUACUUGCUGCUGAGAUGACAGAAACACAUGGGACAUCCCCCCCCAAAAGUGUUAGAGUGAUGUAUGCACAGGGGAUAGUAACCUUGUUUCCCUAUCUAGAAGACCCAUACUCACAACAUGGAUAUGAACAUUACUACGAUCCGGAGAGUGGUUCGGGAUACCUUGCAUGGC